RNAcentral lists this ribosomal RNA (662 nucleotides) under uncultured bacterium. RNAcentral describes it as "bacterial SSU rRNA". It matches the Rfam family "Bacterial small subunit ribosomal RNA", at positions 28 to 684 of the family's 1533-position model. The record is from RNAcentral.
GACNAACGCUGGCGGCGUGCUUAACACAUGCAAGUCUACGAGAAAGUUUUCUUCGGAAAGCAAUUAAAGUGGCGCACGGGUGAGUAACACGUAAGUAAUCUACCCUUAGGUCUGGAAUAACUCCGAGAAAUCGGUGCUAAUACCGGAUGAUGCAGCGGCACCACAUGGUGAUGUUGUUAAAGUCUAUAUGACGCCUAUCGAUGAGCUUGCGUCUGAUUAGUUUGUUGGUGAGGUAAAAGCUCACCAAGGCUACGAUCAGUAGCUGGUCUGAGAGGAUGAUCAGCCACACUGGAACUGAGACACGGUCCAGACUCCUACGGGAGGCAGCAGUGAGGAAUAUUGGGCAAUGGGCGAAAGCCUGACCCAGCAACGCCGCGUGGAGGAUGAAUGUCGUAAGAUUGUAAACUCCUGUUAGGGGGGAAGAAUAAUCCCGAUCGACUCGGGACUUGACUGUACCCUCAGAGAAAGCUCCGGCUAACUACGUGCCAGCAGCCGCGGUAAUACGUANGGAGCGAGCGUUGUCCGGAUUUACUGGGUGUAAAGGGCGCGCAGGCGGGUUGGUAAGUCAGAGGUGAAAUCCUACAGCUCAACUGUAGAACUGCCCUUGAUACUGCUAAUCUUGAGUAUGGAAGAGAGAGACGGAAUUCCAGGUGUAGUGGUGA